CCGCGCGUCCUCUCAGAAACCCACCCCAUGCUGCAGACAUGAACCCAGAAGGUUGGGAACACAAACAGACGCACGGCGACACAGAUGAACAGAUGGAGAGAGAGGGAGAGAUGCAGAGAGAUGUGACUAUUUAUUGAGGUUCUGCAGGGAUACAGCCGAUGGAACUAUAGCUGCACUUCACAGCACUGCAUGCUCUACACUUCUAGACGAAAGAGGAAGUGAUGACGUGAAACAAGCUGCCAGUGCCACUGAUUGAUUACUCCACAACUAAUUUCUCUUGCUGGGAGCCACUACAUCUGGAGCUGAGUGCACACACUUCGGAGGCCGUCACCUGUCAAUCAUUCCUAUAAUUGAUGAUUCGGCCAAUCUUGUGUCUGCUCAACCCCCUGCAAAGGAAACUUGUACUGUAUCCACUCAGAACAGCCAGCUGCCAGUCAAAGCUACUGUGACACACACUCUUUUCCCAUGCUAGGACAAAAUCAGUCAAUCCUCGUCUCAAAGUGCGUCCAUAUGGAAUCAACCCAGCUGUCAAUCAGACCGCAGGUCAGUACAGCCCAAAGAUCUAAGCAGAUGGAACCAGCCAAAACCUGUUGUUUUUCCUUUUUCUCUCUAAGAUGACUGAAUCUAUGAGGUAGUGUCUUUUACUGCACCUCCAGGCUGUUGAAUGCGUUUGAAGAAGGUCGAAUGAAAUCACAAUAGAGAUGAUACUCAUGUAAUGUUACAGAAUGAAGGCUGAGGUUGCUAGCGCAGCAAGACGGAGGCGUCCCUGAAGAUCCCGGACUCUUAAUUAUGGUGAAAUAAUCGGUGCAUGCAGCAUAGCCUCGGGCUGCCAGCCCCAGAGGUGAGCUCUACACAAGCACAUAGAGAACACAGAGCAGAGAAGAUACUGGUACUGCUUUGAAAACGCUGUGUAGUCCGGCCAAAGUGAACAGGUUUAGAUUCAUCCUUGACAAAGGUGGCGAUGGUCUGGUUUUAAAGUGUCAUUAUAAAGCGAUAGAAUGUAAUUGGCUAUUUAGUACAGAUGUGUUCUCUUUCUUUUUGGUCAGUUGAACAUGUUAAUGCUUGUGGUUGCUUUGUUUGACAACUGUGAAAACUUAAGGAGGACUGACUUCACCUUGGCACCAGUUGCUUCAAAGUCGUUGAAGAAGUUAUGUUUGCCUGUCCCAUGUGGGUCAAUGUUUUACAUCUAAUGCAAUAGCAUUGAAUUGUUUGUAAUGUUAUUGGAUAUUAACAAUCCAACACGAAUGGCUUACCAAUUCAGUAUAUAAAAGAGGGAGAAAAGUGUUUUCAAGGGAUAGUUCACUCAAAAAUGCUGUCAAACUUAUGUUAUUCCAAACUAACUUUCUUCUGCGAAAACAUAUUUGGAAGAA
Non-coding RNA from Pimephales promelas (fathead minnow), 1370 nucleotides. The record is from RefSeq and is a predicted model, not a curated record. NCBI's taxonomy places the organism in Eukaryota, Metazoa, Chordata, Actinopteri, Cypriniformes, Leuciscidae.